UAGGGAAUAUUGCACAAUGGGGGAAACCCUGAUGCAGCGACGCCGCGUGAAGGAAGAAGUAUCUCGGUAUGUAAACUUCUAUCAGCAGGGAAGACAAUGACGGUACCUGACUAAGAAGCCCCGGCUAACUACGUGCCAGCAGCCGCGGUAAUACGUAGGGGGCAAGCGUUAUCCGGAUUUACUGGGUGUAAAGGGAGCGUAGACGGAUCUGCAAGUCUGGAGUGAAAGCCCGGGGCUCAACCCCGGGAGCUGCUUUGGAAACUGUGGAUCUAGAGUGCCGGAGAGGUAAGCGGAAUUCCUAGUGUAGCGGUGAAAUGCGUAGAUAUUAGGAGGAACACCAGUGGCGAAGGCGGCUUACUGGACGGUAACUGACGUUGAGGCUCGAAAGCGUGGGGAGCAAACAGGAUUAGAUACC
This 415-nucleotide ribosomal RNA is filed under the name uncultured bacterium. RNAcentral's name for it is "bacterial SSU rRNA". It matches the Rfam family "Bacterial small subunit ribosomal RNA", at positions 355 to 786 of the family's 1533-position model. The record is from RNAcentral.